Molecule: ribosomal RNA, 253 nt
Filed under: uncultured bacterium
Lineage: Bacteria
Description: partial 16S ribosomal RNA
Rfam family: Bacterial small subunit ribosomal RNA
Source: RNAcentral
GACAGAGGGCUCAAACGUUGUUCGGAAUCACUGGGCCUAAAGGGCGCGUAGGCGUCUCGUUAAGUCGGUUGUGAAAUCCCCCGGCUCAACCGGGGAACGGCAUCCGAUACUGGCGGGCUCGAGGACGGGAGGGGUAAGUGGAACUCCAGGUGGAACGGUGAAAUGUGUAGAUAUCUGGAGGAACACCGGUGGCGAAAGCGGCUUACUGGCCCGUAUCUGACGCUGAGGCGCGAAAGCUAGGGGAGCAAACGGG